This is a long non-coding RNA of Amphiprion ocellaris (clown anemonefish), 791 nucleotides long. RefSeq lists it as uncharacterized. The transcript has 2 exons. NCBI's taxonomy places the organism in Eukaryota, Metazoa, Chordata, Actinopteri, Pomacentridae. The record is from RefSeq and is a predicted model, not a curated record.
UGAGCUGAAUGCAGAGCUGUAUAAUACAGAGUGGAGUCUUCAAGAAGCAAAUAAAAGGAAGCAUCGCAGUGAGGGGCUUGCUAUGUAGGUCUUUGUGUGUGCUCGAGUGUGUGUCUGUGUCAGAGUUAAGAAGAGAGUGUGUUUGCGAGCCUCCACGGAUGUGUGUGUGAUUCUAGGAGACAGAGCGUGCCGGGGCUUGUGCAUGUGAUUCGAUCCAGAGGGAAUGGAAGAAGAAACUGAUACACCAUCUGGGUCCAUUGCAGGGCAAAAAUCACCACCUCAGAUGGAACCUGAGAGUCCUUUGCUCAUCCCUCCAACAUCACAGGAUCCCAGAUCAGCCAACCAGAUGACCCCAACAUCCACCGUCUUCCUACACUAGCUAUUCUCAUUAAAACUCACAUCAUGGCAUGGUCCUUUCUUGUGAAAUGACCACUGCUUAUCACUUAGCUAAAGUUCCAUAUUACUGUAGGUCUGAUGGUGACAACUGAUCUCCAUUACAGCUAAACAAAGUCAGUAUGAGGAAUAAACAAUGCAGCUGAACAAAACUUCUGGGGAGACCUUGAGUUAAGAUUUCUUCUUUUGUCAAGCCUUCCUAAGUUUGUGUAUUAAGUUUGUUUUGUAUCCAUAAUUGCUGCCAAUCAAAUUCUAGAGCAGCUUUGAAGUGAAUUUUAACCACAGAUGAAAUGACACACGGUUUAGUCAUCACUUCUGUGCCUGCGGAUAUAUCUACUAUAUACUUAACUGUAUGCACUAGUAGAAAAUUAUAAAGCAUAAUAAAAAAAAUUACAGGA